Rhinolophus ferrumequinum (greater horseshoe bat) is the source of this 134-nucleotide small nucleolar RNA. Its record names the gene SNORA70. It matches the Rfam family "Small nucleolar RNA SNORA70". From Rfam's summary of the family: snoRNA U70 seems to be exclusive to mammals and is a member of the H/ACA class of snoRNA which contain H (ANANNA) and ACA box motifs. H/ACA box snoRNAs are involved in the conversion of uridines to pseudouridines (5-ribosyluracil) a constituent of structural RNAs (transfer, ribosomal, small nuclear, and small nucleolar). NCBI's taxonomy places the organism in Eukaryota, Metazoa, Chordata, Mammalia, Chiroptera, Rhinolophidae. The record is from Ensembl.
AUGCAACUGAUGAAGCUGACCAUGCUCUUUUUCCUGUGGGGGCCCGCUAUGCAAUGGUUACAAGUAGCAGUCUGCUCAGCAGUGUAUGCAGACUAUUGCUCAUAUAGAUUGCCUGAAGGGACAUAGAGACAACC